UACGUAGGGUGCAAGCGUUAAUCGGAAUUACUGGGCGUAAAGCGUGCGCAGGCGGCUAUGCAAGACAGAUGUGAAAUCCCCGGGCUCAACCUGGGAACUGCAUUUGUGACUGCAUGGCUAGAGUACGGUAGAGGGGGAUGGAAUUCCGCGUGUAGCAGUGAAAUGCGUAGAUAUGCGGAGGAACACCGAUGGCGAAGGCAAUCCCCUGGACCUGUACUGACGCUCAUGCACGAAAGCGUGGGGGGCAAACAGG
Molecule: ribosomal RNA, 253 nt
Filed under: uncultured bacterium
Lineage: Bacteria
Description: partial 16S ribosomal RNA
Rfam family: Bacterial small subunit ribosomal RNA
Source: RNAcentral